RNAcentral lists this ribosomal RNA (1372 nucleotides) under uncultured bacterium. RNAcentral describes it as "bacterial SSU rRNA". It matches the Rfam family "Bacterial small subunit ribosomal RNA", at positions 28 to 1381 of the family's 1533-position model. The record is from RNAcentral.
GAUGAACGCUGGCGGCGUGCCUAAUACAUGCAAGUCGAGCGAACAGACGAGGAGCUUGCUCCUUUGACGUUAGCGGCGGACGGGUGAGUAACACGUGGGUAACCUACCUAUAAGACUGGGAUAACUUCGGGAAACCGGAGCUAAUACCGGAUAAUAUUUCGAACCGCAUGGUUCGAUAGUGAAAGAUGGCUUUGCUAUCACUUAUAGAUGGACCUGCGCCGUAUUAGCUAGUUGGUAAGGUAACGGCUUACCAAGGCAACGAUACGUAGCCGACCUGAGAGGGUGAUCGGCCACACUGGAACUGAGACACGGUCCAGACUCCUACGGGAGGCAGCAGUAGGGAAUCUUCCGCAAUGGGCGAAAGCCUGACGGAGCAACGCCGCGUGAGUGAUGAAGGUCUUCGGAUCGUAAAACUCUGUUAUUAGGGAAGAACAAACGUGUAAGUAACUGUGCACGUCUUGACGGUACCUAAUCAGAAAGCCACGGCUAACUACGUGCCAGCAGCCGCGGUAAUACGUAGGUGGCAAGCGUUAUCCGGAAUUAUUGGGCGUAAAGCGCGCGUAGGCGGUUUUUUAAGUCUGAUGUGAAAGCCCACGGCUCAACCGUGGAGGGUCAUUGGAAACUGGAAAACUUGAGUGCAGAAGAGGAAAGUGGAAUUCCAUGUGUAGCGGUGAAAUGCGCAGAGAUAUGGAGGAACACCAGUGGCGAAGGCGACUUUCUGGUCUGUAACUGACGCUGAUGUGCGAAAGCGUGGGGAUCAAACAGGAUUAGAUACCCUGGUAGUCCACGCCGUAAACGAUGAGUGCUAAGUGUUAGGGGGUUUCCGCCCCUUAGUGCUGCAGCUAACGCAUUAAGCACUCCGCCUGGGGAGUACGACCGCAAGGUUGAAACUCAAAGGAAUUGACGGGAACCCGCACAAGCGGUGGAGCAUGUGGUUUAAUUCGAAGCAACGCGAAGAACCUUACCAAAUCUUGACAUCCUUUGACCCUUCUAGAGAUAGAAGUUUCCCCUUCGGGGGACAAAGUGACAGGUGGUGCAUGGUUGUCGUCAGCUCGUGUCGUGAGAUGUUGGGUUAAGUCCCGCAACGAGCGCAACCCUUAAGCUUAGUUGCCAUCAUUAAGUUGGGCACUCUAAGUUGACUGCCGGUGACAAACCGGAGGAAGGUGGGGAUGACGUCAAAUCAUCAUGCCCCUUAUGAUUUGGGCUACACACGUGCUACAAUGGACAAUACAAAGGGCAGCGAAACCGCGAGGUCAAGCAAAUCCCAUAAAGUUGUUCUCAGUUCGGAUUGUAGUCUGCAACUCGACUACAUGAAGCUGGAAUCGCUAGUAAUCGUAGAUCAGCAUGCUACGGUGAAUACGUUCCCGGGUCU